ACAGAGGUCUCGAGCGUUAGUCGGAUUCAUUGGGCUUAAAGCGUACGUAGGCGGGCGUGCAGGCGUCGUGUGAAAGCCCUCGGCUCAACCGGGGAAUUGCACGGCGAACCGCACGUCUUGAGACAAGUAGGGGCGGUCGGAACGAUAGGUGGAGUGGUGAAAUGCGUUGAUAUCUAUCGGAACGCCAAUGGUGAAGACAGGCCGCUGGGCUUGUUCUGACGCUGAGGUACGAAAGCGUGGGUAGCGAACGGGA
RNAcentral lists this ribosomal RNA (253 nucleotides) under uncultured prokaryote. Its description in RNAcentral is "partial 16S ribosomal RNA". It matches the Rfam family "Bacterial small subunit ribosomal RNA", at positions 525 to 777 of the family's 1533-position model. The record is from RNAcentral.